GUGCCCAAGAGGAUGGUCAGCUCAGCAGAAGAGGUGGUGAAGGAAGAGCCCAAGAGGACAUCAGCGCGGUUGUCUGUUAAACCUGCUGCUGCAAAAGUGGAAAUGAAGCCAAAAAUGAAAACAAGAGAGAAUAAAUCUUCAGACAAAAAAGUACAAACAAAAGGGAAAAAAAACGGUGCAAAGGGAGAACAGGGUGACAUGGCUAACCAAGAAACUAAAGAAGAUCGACCUGCAGAAAAUAGUGACAUGAAAACCGAGGAGAAUCCAGCCUUUGAUGAAAUGAGAGAGAAAGAAGCCAAGUCUC
RNAcentral lists this long non-coding RNA (304 nucleotides) under Homo sapiens (human). Its description in RNAcentral is "non-protein coding lnc-MC4R-4:1". The record is from RNAcentral. Lineage: Eukaryota; Metazoa; Chordata; Mammalia; Primates; Hominidae.